CCUACGGGAGGCAGCAGUGAGGAAUAUUGGUCAAUGGCCGUAAGGCUGAACCAGCCAAGUCGCGUGAAGGAAGAAGGAUCUAUGGUUUGUAAACUUCUUUUAUAGGGGAAUAAAGGUAUCCACGUGUGGAUAUUUGCAUGUACCCUAUGAAUAAGCAUCGGCUAACUCCGUGCCAGCAGCCGCGGUAAUACGGAGGAUGCGAGCGUUAUCCGGAUUUAUUGGGUUUAAAGGGUGCGUAGGUUGUUUUUUAAGUUAGCGGUGAAAGUUUGUGGCUCAACCAUAAAAUUGCCGUUGAAACUGGCAGACUUGAGUGUGUUUGAGGUAGGCGGAAUGCGUGGUGUAGCGGUGAAAUGCAUAGAUAUCACGCAGAACUCCGAUUGCGAAGGCAGCUUACUAAGCCAUAACUGACACUGAAGCACGAAAGCGUGGGGAUCAAACAGGAUUAGAUACCCCGGUAGUC
Molecule: ribosomal RNA, 460 nt
Filed under: uncultured bacterium
Lineage: Bacteria
Description: partial 16S ribosomal RNA
Rfam family: Bacterial small subunit ribosomal RNA
Source: RNAcentral